UACGUAGGGGGCAAGCGUUGUCCGGAUUCAUUGGGCGUAAAGAGCUCGUAGGCGGUUCAGCAAGUCGGGUGUGAAACCUCCAGGCUCAACCUGGAGACGCCACCCGAUACUGCUGUGACUUGAGUCCGGUAGGGGACCACGGAAUUCCUGGUGUAGCGGUGAAAUGCGCAGAUAUCAGGAGGAACACCGGUGGCGAAGGCGGUGGUCUGGGCCGGUACUGACGCUGAGGAGCGAAAGCGUGGGGAGCGAACAGG
This 254-nucleotide ribosomal RNA is filed under the name uncultured bacterium. Its description in RNAcentral is "partial 16S ribosomal RNA". It matches the Rfam family "Bacterial small subunit ribosomal RNA", at positions 524 to 776 of the family's 1533-position model. The record is from RNAcentral.